This 468-nucleotide ribosomal RNA is filed under the name uncultured bacterium. RNAcentral's name for it is "partial 16S ribosomal RNA". It matches the Rfam family "Bacterial small subunit ribosomal RNA", at positions 28 to 507 of the family's 1533-position model. The record is from RNAcentral.
GACGAACGCUGGCGGCGUGCUUAACACAUGCAAGUCGAACGGAAAGGCCCUGCUUUUGUGGGGUGCUCGAGUGGCGAACGGGUGAGUAACACGUGAGUAACCUGCCCUUGACUUUGGGAUAACUUCAGGAAACUGGGGCUAAUACCGGAUAGGAGCUCCUGCUGCAUGGUGGGGGUUGGAAAGUUUCGGCGGUUGGGGAUGGACUCGCGGCUUAUCAGCUUGUUGGUGGGGUGGUGGCUUACCAAGGCUUUGACGGGUAGCCGGCCUGAGCGGGUGUCCGGCCACAUUGGGACUGAGAUACGGCCCAGACUCCUACGGGAGGCAGCAGUGGGGAAUAUUGCACAAUGGGCGGAAGCCUGAUGCAGCAACGCCGCGUGCGGGAGGACGGCCUUCGGGUUGUAAACCGCUUUCGCCUGUGACGAAGCGUGAGUGACGGUAAUGGGUAAAGAAGCACCGGCUAACUACGUG